This 1252-nucleotide ribosomal RNA is filed under the name metagenome. RNAcentral describes it as "bacterial SSU rRNA". It matches the Rfam family "Bacterial small subunit ribosomal RNA", at positions 243 to 1520 of the family's 1533-position model. The record is from RNAcentral.
AGCUAGUUGGUGAGGUAACGGCCCACCAAGGCGACGAUCGGUAGCCGGACUGAGAGGUUGAACGGCCACAUUGGGACUGAGACACGGCCCAGACUCCUACGGGAGGCAGCAGUGGGGAAUAUUGCACAAUGGGGGAAACCCUGAUGCAGCGACGCCGCGUGGAGGAAGAAGGUCUUCGGAUUGUAAACUCCUGUUGUUGAGGAAGAUAAUGACGGUACUCAACAAGGAAGUGACGGCUAACUACGUGCCAGCAGCCGCGGUAAAACGUAGGUCACAAGCGUUGUCCGGAAUUACUGGGUGUAAAGGGAGCGCAGGCGGGAAGACAAGUUGGAAGUGAAAUCUAUGGGCUCAACCCAUAAACUGCUUUCAAAACUGUUUUUCUUGAGUAGUGCAGAGGUAGGCGGAAUUCCCGGUGUAGCGGUGGAAUGCGUAGAUAUCGGGAGGAACACCAGUGGCGAAGGCGGCCUACUGGGCACCAACUGACGCUGAGGCUCGAAAGUGUGGGUAGCAAACAGGAUUAGAUACCCUGGUAGUCCACACCGUAAACGAUGAUUACUAGGUGUUGGAGGAUUGACCCCUUCAGUGCCGCAGUUAACACAAUAAGUAAUCCACCUGGGGAGUACGACCGCAAGGUUGAAACUCAAAGGAAUUGACGGGGGCCCGCACAAGCAGUGGAGUAUGUGGUUUAAUUCGACGCAACGCGAAGAACCUUACCAAGUCUUGACAUCCUGCGACGAUGCUGGAAACAGUAGUUUCCUUCGGGACGCAGAGACAGGUGGUGCAUGGUUGUCGUCAGCUCGUGUCGUGAGAUGUUGGGUUAAGUCCCGCAACGAGCGCAACCCUUACUGUCAGUUACUACGCAAGAGGACUCUGGCAGGACUGCCGUUGACAAAACGGAGGAAGGUGGGGAUGACGUCAAAUCAUCAUGCCCUUUAUGACUUGGGCUACACACGUACUACAAUGGCGUUAAACAAAGAGAGGCAAGACCGCGAGGUGGAGCAAAACUCAGAAACAACGUCCCAGUUCGGACUGCAGGCUGCAACUCGCCUGCACGAAGUCGGAAUUGCUAGUAAUCGUGGAUCAGCAUGCCACGGUGAAUACGUUCCCGGGCCUUGUACACACCGCCCGUCACACCAUGAGAGCCGGGGGGACCCGAAGUCGGUAGUCUAACCGCAAGGAGUACGCCGCCGAAGGUAAAACUGGUGAUUGGGGUGAAGUCGAAACAAGGUAGCCGUAGGAGAACCUGCGGCUG